UGGGGAAUUUUGGACAAUGGGCGAAAGCCUGAUCCAGCAAUGCCGCGUGUGUGAAGAAGGCCUUCGGGUUGUAAGCACUUUUGUCCGGAAAGAAAUCCUUGGCUCUAAUACAGUCGGGGGAUGACGGUACCGGAAGAAUAAGCACCGGCUAACUACGUGCCAGCAGCCGCGGUAAUACGUAGGGUGCAAGCGUUAAUCGGAAUUACUGGGCGUAAAGCGUGCGCAGGCGGUUUGCUAAGACCGAUGUGAAAUCCCCGGGCUCAACCUGGGAACUGCAUUGGUGACUGGCAGGCUAGAGUAUGGCAGAGGGGGGUAGAAUUCCACGUGUAGCAGUGAAAUGCGUAGAGAUGUGGAGGAAUACCGAUGGCGAAGGCAGCCCCCUGGGCCAAUACUGACGCUCAUGCACGAAGGCGUGGGGAGCAAACAGGAUUAGAUACCCUGGUAGUCCACGCCCUAAACGAUGUCAACUAGUUGUUGGGGAUUCAUUUCCUUAGUAACGUACUAACGCGUGAAGUUGACCGCCUGGGGAGUACGGUCGCAAGAUUAAAACUCAAAGGAAUUGACGGGGUCAUAGCUG
This 577-nucleotide ribosomal RNA is filed under the name uncultured bacterium. RNAcentral's name for it is "partial 16S ribosomal RNA". It matches the Rfam family "Bacterial small subunit ribosomal RNA", at positions 355 to 932 of the family's 1533-position model. The record is from RNAcentral.